RNAcentral lists this long non-coding RNA (996 nucleotides) under Elaeis guineensis (African oil palm). RNAcentral describes it as "long non-coding RNA (EGUI_LNC075744)". Lineage: Eukaryota; Viridiplantae; Streptophyta; Magnoliopsida; Arecales; Arecaceae. The record is from RNAcentral.
GAGGUGGGGCAUGUGUCAAAUAUUUGAGUGUCCAUAAAAGUCCAAACAAGAUAUGCUAAAAGUCAGAUAUGGGUACACAUUUGUAUCCUAUAUAUGUGUGUGUAAAUAUGCAUAAUGUAUGCAUAUAUUAAAUAACGAGCUAGAAUUCUGCUCCUUAAAUUCAUAAAAUUUGAUAAAACACUUGGUAAUUGUUAUAUUGACUUGAUAACUUUGAUAAAGACUGCCAAAAGUAUACGUGCCAUGAUGAUGAAUUCAUGAUUUGAUUGUAGGAAGUAUCAUGGAGUGUCAUGAAGUGACCCAAAUGUCGAAGUGAAUAUGUCAAAAAAAAUCCAAAUAUGGAAUGUCCAUUUAUCCUAGUCAGAUAAAAGGAAAAAGGAAUUUUAAUUUAAACUUCAAAACACCAUAGCAAACAAUUGUAUCAUCAGUAGUUUGCCAUUUGUAUUACCUUCUAUAGCUCAUAUUUUAUGGUAUUAUGUAGAAGCUGACUUAGUAGUUGGAAUUAUUAGUAAAGUUUGGUGAGAAUAUUAAAUAUAUUUAUGCUCAGCAUACUAGCUAUACUCAUAAGCUUGAUCUAAGUGAUGAUGUAAGUAUGCAAUCAAAAGAUGUGCAAAGAUGAUAAAAGGUGAAGUAGUCAAGCAUGUAAAAUUUGCUUUGUUGAUCACCUUGUUGGAUGUAUCAAAGUGUUUCCUCACUAGACCAUUAAGAACAAAAUUAUUAGGUUACAUACUAAAUGCUGCAUGGGCAUGUUGAAGCGAUGGGAUCCAUUCAAUCAAUAAUCAUCUCUUUUGGGCUAGUACUUUAAACAAAAAAUGCUACAUAUGGACCAUCUAGGUGUAACUUCUACAUAAAUAGAGGUAAGCAUUGAGUAGCAUUUUCAAAAGUCUGCUUAGUCGUAGUUGAUAAGAUCUGGGGUCAAUUUUACAUGUGCAUAUAUGUCUAAUUCAAAAAAUGAUAUUAAAAUAUUGAUAAAAUAUUGGAGGUUGAAGAUAUAGGGGG